GAAAGGUUUGCAAACAAGUUAGACCAUAACAUAAUUUUAUAUGCAAAAAUUUCCUAAAUAUUAGGUUAUUUUAAAAUGUUAUAAAGAAAAUGGAUCUCAAUGAUAUUAUCCCUCUAUCAUCUUCACCGUCGUGACUUCCUCAGCCAGCAGCACAAUAUCGAAAUGGAAAAACUGAAAAAAAUACAGUAACAUAUGCAUAUUCAAACAAAACUAAUAAAACUAAAUAUUAUCAAAUAACUUAAUACAAUAAUAAUAGAUAAGGCAAGGAUGAAAUUAGAAAUGAUUACAGAGUUAUUUAAAAAAAAAAAAGACCCAUUUCAAAAAAAAAGAAAAGAAAAAGAAAACAAAGCAACUUACCUGGCUAGCUAGCUGGCUAGCGAUAGAGCAAUGGACGGAAUGGCAGCGGCAGGUGGGCAGCAAGGAUAAGGCAGUACCAGCCACCGGUAGAUGAGACUUAGGGUUUGGGUCUGUGGCUUUGUGCAAG
RNAcentral lists this long non-coding RNA (484 nucleotides) under Citrus x clementina. RNAcentral's name for it is "Citrus clementina (C. clementina) long non-coding RNA (CCLE_LNC001359)". Lineage: Eukaryota; Viridiplantae; Streptophyta; Magnoliopsida; Sapindales; Rutaceae. The record is from RNAcentral.